UCUCUCUCUCUCUCUCUCUCUCUCUCUCGAUCUCCUGCACCCCGUGUGAAUGCGUUAAAACUUCUUCAACCUUCUAUAGAAACCCCAACCUCAGAUUCUUCCUCUUUGAAAUUCCGAAAACAGAAAAGAAAGAGAGAUUAAAUAAGAUCUCUCUCUCACGAAAAUCAGAUCGGAGAAAACGAAGCAGUCAUUACAGCGGAACGAUAGUGUCGACGAGGAGUAGCUCAGCUUCUUCCAAGCAUCCUUUAAACCUCACUUCUCCUAAUACCAAACGCUCCAAGAUGGAUAUUCCACCUCCGCCAGACGAUGCCAGCAACACCAGUUGUACACUUUAGAGCGAUUUGUCUUCUCUUCAAGAAGGCCCUCAACUUCCCUCCGAUCCGACCCCUGUCAGCGUGCUGAAGGAGAAAUCUAACGAGGCCACUGACAGAUUGGCGUGAAGGGUGAAGAUUUUCCAGUUUUAAAAAUGUUUUUCAGCUAAGCAUGUUUGUUUUUAUUUCUAUUGAAGUCUCCACUUUUAUCUCCAAAUAAUAUUUGUUGGAGAUUGGCAUGAAGGGUGAAGAUUUUCUAUUUCCUUCUCAUAUCAGAAGGAAUCCUUUGCAGUGCUCUCAACAGAAAUUCAUUCCCACAUGAAUUCCAAUUUGGUUUCAGUACAUCUGCAUUUCAGGUAUACUUCACAUUCCAAAAAAAAAAAAACUCUUUUGUUGUUCUUGUUGUUGUUGUUGUUUUCUUUUAUAAAAUGUUGUUUUUUUUCUUUUUUAUUUAAAUUUUUGGUGGAAGGAGCAGCUCUUGAAGAUGGGAGGGGUGUAAGCAUUUGGGAUACUUUCUGUUCUCUUCCUGGGAAGAUAUUGGGUGGAGGAAAUAGAGAUGUAGUAGCUGAUGUAUAUCAUCGAUACAAGGUAUUUGCACUUUAAUUGAAUUUGAGGGGACACUAAUUUCCUAUUUGGGGCCCACUGUGAUGUCUAUGUGGCAUCCACUCCAUUAAUGAUCACAAGAAUUGCAGUGUGGUAUUGAAUUUGUUGAGUUGCUAGAGGACGACCCAAAUUCAAAGGCUAAAGUCUCAAUGUAUACAGAUGUAUUCGAGCAAACCCCUCAUGAACAUGCCCGGUCCAAGAAUCAAGUUCCACUCUUUAGGUGGGAUGUAGAUGUAUGAGAAAAGUGAAUCAAGUGCCACCUGAAGAGUGUUCCAAAUCCCUCUUACAGGCGCUGCAUUUAGUUGCAGAAGGGGCACAUCACAUCCAUGGUUCUUGAGUCGGCUAUGGCGCUGCUGGAUUUCUUAGGGAUGUCUUUCGAGUCAAUGACAAGAGAUUGGAUUCUACUGUUUUUGGUUAGAUGUCUCUGGGUUGUAGGUCUGCCCAUCAUUUUCUUUCCUGUUCUUCUUUAGCUUCUUUUUUUUUUUUUGUUGUUGCUUGUCUGGCCUCGAGUUCUCUUCAACAAAAAAAAAAAAAAAACAUUGCAAUUCUGGGCUAUUUGGGUUAGAUAUGGACCAUUUAAAGGCUAUGUUGUAGAGGGGUCCUUAACUCCUUACACAUUUCAAUAAGUGCAACUGUGCAAAUGAUAGAUUGGUACUUUCAUGUAAACAAUCACUGAGAAGUUUGGACUCCAUUUGGGGGAUUCAGGAAAAUUUAGAUUAAUCCUUAAUCUCGAUUUUGGCAGGCCCCAU
This is a long non-coding RNA of Magnolia sinica, 1663 nucleotides long. RefSeq lists it as uncharacterized. The transcript has 3 exons. NCBI's taxonomy places the organism in Eukaryota, Viridiplantae, Streptophyta, Magnoliopsida, Magnoliales, Magnoliaceae. The record is from RefSeq and is a predicted model, not a curated record.